AGAACGAACGCUGGCGGCAUGCCUAAUACAUGCAAGUCGAACGAACACUUCGGUGUUAGUGGCGCACGGGUGCGUAACGCGUGGGAAUCUGCCCUUGGGUUCGGAAUAACAGUUGGAAACGACUGCUAAUACCGGAUGAUAUCGAAAGAUCAAAGAUUUAUCGCCCAGGGAUGAGCCCGCGUAGGAUUAGCUAGUUGGUGAGGUAAAGGCUCACCAAGGCGACGAUCCUUAGCUGGUCUGAGAGGAUGAUCAGCCACACUGGGACUG
RNAcentral lists this ribosomal RNA (267 nucleotides) under uncultured soil bacterium. Its description in RNAcentral is "partial 16S ribosomal RNA". It matches the Rfam family "Bacterial small subunit ribosomal RNA", at positions 26 to 321 of the family's 1533-position model. The record is from RNAcentral.